RNAcentral lists this ribosomal RNA (254 nucleotides) under uncultured bacterium. RNAcentral describes it as "partial 16S ribosomal RNA". It matches the Rfam family "Bacterial small subunit ribosomal RNA", at positions 524 to 776 of the family's 1533-position model. The record is from RNAcentral.
UACGGGGGGAGCAAGCGUUGUUCGGAUUUACUGGGCGUAAAGGGCGCGUAGGCGGCCAGCGCAAGUCAGUUGUGAAAUCUCCGGGCUUAACUCGGAACGGUCAACUGAUACUGCGCGGCUAGAGUGCAGAAGGGGCAACUGGAAUUCUCGGUGUAGCGGUGAAAUGCGUAGAUAUCGAGAGGAACACCUGCGGCGAAGGCGGGUUGCUGGGCCGACACUGACGCUGAUGCGCGAAAGCCAGGGGAGCAAACGGG